GGGAGGCUGAAGUGUCAAAAGGUUCUCUUUAACCCUUAUGGUUGCUGAAAAUUUGAACAGGAAGGAAUUUCACAAAAACGUUUACAGUGGUUAUCUCUGGAAGGUAGAAUUACAGUGCCUUCCAGAGCUUGAGAAAUGCCACUGGAUCUCUCUGCUGCCUGAUCAAUAACUGUGAUUAUCCCAUCAGAACACUGUUGCUUCUGCCUCUGUGGGGAAGAAAUGGAGCUGCCCAUCUUCUAGACCUUGAACACCUCUGCCCUGUGGCCCCCUCAGUGGAGCCCUUUC
Non-coding RNA from Ceratotherium simum simum (southern white rhinoceros), 285 nucleotides. Lineage: Eukaryota; Metazoa; Chordata; Mammalia; Perissodactyla; Rhinocerotidae. The record is from RefSeq and is a predicted model, not a curated record.